UACGAAGGGGGCUAGCGUUGUUCGGAUUUACUGGGCGUAAAGCGUGCGCAGGCGGUUGUGCAAGACAGAUGUGAAAUCCCCGGGCUUAACCUGGGAACUGCAUUUGUGACUGCACGGCUAGAGUGUGUCAGAGGGGGGUAGAAUUCCACGUGUAGCAGUGAAAUGCGUAGAUAUGUGGAGGAAUACCGAUGGCGAAGGCAGCCCCCUGGGAUAACACUGACGCUCAUGCACGAAAGCGUGGGGAGCAAACAGG
RNAcentral lists this ribosomal RNA (253 nucleotides) under uncultured bacterium. RNAcentral describes it as "partial 16S ribosomal RNA". It matches the Rfam family "Bacterial small subunit ribosomal RNA", at positions 524 to 776 of the family's 1533-position model. The record is from RNAcentral.